GAGGGUAUAGCUCAGUGGUGGAUUGCAUGCCUAGCAUGCACGAGGUCCUGGGUUCAAUUUCCAGUACCUCCA
This 72-nucleotide transfer RNA is filed under the name Camelus bactrianus (Bactrian camel). It matches the Rfam family "tRNA". From Rfam's summary of the family: Transfer RNA (tRNA) molecules are approximately 80 nucleotides in length. The record is from Rfam by way of RNAcentral. Lineage: Eukaryota; Metazoa; Chordata; Mammalia; Artiodactyla; Camelidae. RNAcentral also lists the same sequence under 2 other names.